This is a non-coding RNA of Carica papaya (papaya), 323 nucleotides long. The record is from RefSeq and is a predicted model, not a curated record. NCBI's taxonomy places the organism in Eukaryota, Viridiplantae, Streptophyta, Magnoliopsida, Brassicales, Caricaceae.
CCUUGUCAACAUCCUUCUAGCUAAAAUCCAAGUCGCCUCAUUAUUAUACAACUCUGUUGAAACACAAACUAAUUCAUCAACAUUUACUAUAUAAUUCCUUAAUCCUCUAUUUCAUAACAAAAUUCACGCAUCCCGAAAGUUUCUCUCUGUGUUGAGAUCUUGAAAGCAUGACAUCGGUUAUUGAGCAGCCGACUUUAUCUUCCCUGGCUGGAAAGUCUUCUGGGGAGAUUGAUACCGAACAAGAGCCUCUUAUUAGUGGUACAAACAGUUCAGAAGAUUAUUCUGUUUUUGCUACAAUUCUCCCUUGAUGAAGAGUUAAGUUG